This 1099-nucleotide long non-coding RNA is filed under the name Calidris pygmaea (Spoon-billed sandpiper). RNAcentral's name for it is "lncRNA (ENSCPGG00000003810.1)". The record is from RNAcentral. Lineage: Eukaryota; Metazoa; Chordata; Aves; Charadriiformes; Scolopacidae.
GGAGUCCCUCCCUCCCCCCGGCCCCGGCUGCUCGCAGGGGGAACGGCGUGUCCGCGGGCUGCCGUUCCUCCGGAGUAAAACGCUUCCCAAGUGAUUCCCGAGUGGGGCAACGGAGGUGGGGGGAGAACUGCCGGCAUUAUGGCUAGAGAGGAGAGAAGCCGGUCCAUGUCCUCCCCCCUCCCCGCCGUGGUCCUGGGGUGGAAGGACUCGCGUGAGCGCGCCGGGCAGCGCAGGGCGCCGGCGGAGCGUGGGUUUGCUUAAUUUCGGAGCCCACCGCCGUGACCCCGGCCCCACGCUUUCCGCGCCGUUUUGAAUGAGAGAGGCUCCCCGUGACCCGCCGAGGGCCGGAAUCAAAAGUGACUUGUCACUCAGAAUUAACAGGCGCCGCAUUUAUUCCGUAAAAUUUAAAACCCCACAAAAACUUCGCCGCUCCAGGCGAAGCGGAAGACUUGCUCGCUGCCCGCCGCCGCUCACCCCCGGGGAGGCCGGCGGCGGGCACCGGGCGCCCCCGGGAUGGGAGGGGGGGGAGGAGGGAAGCCGCUACCGCGGGGGCGGAGCCGCCGCAACUCGGGGCCCCCCAGGCCCCCUCCGCGCCGCUCCGCGAACCCUCCCGCCCGCCCGCGGCGGCGGGGCCGGGGGCCGGGGCCCGGCCGGGGGCCGGGGCGGCGGCGGGGCCGGUGCGGGGCGGCGGCGGGGCGGCGGGCAGCCAAUGGGGCGCGGCCGGGUUCGGGAGGUGAAAGUUCAGCGCCGGGGCAGGCUCGCCGCCGCCGCCGCCGCGGGGGCGCGGCGCUGCCGAUGGGUGGUCGUAAAAUUUAUUUAUUUGCUACUCGCCACUCUUUUGUCUCUCCCCCCCGCCAUCCCCCGCCCCGUCGCUUGCACCGGUUACCGGGGAGCUGUUUGCUUCCGCGGCGGUUUGCGAGCGCAACGGUUGCGGGUGACACUCGCCGCACACCCCGCGGGGCGGCGGGACAAAGUUUCCGCCGGUAGCCGCCCUCCGCCUCUCCGCGCCCCGCGGGACGGCGGGGCGGGGAGGGAAACGGUGCCGGGCCCGCCGCCCCGCUCCCCGCCGGCCCGCAAACGAAAUCGGGCGCCUUGGGCU